UACGAAGGGGGCUAGCGUUGCUCGGAAUCACUGGGCGUAAAGCGCACGUAGGCGGACUCUUAAGUCGGUGGUGAAAUCCUGGAGCUCAACUCCAGAACUGCCUUCGAUACUGAGAGUCUCGAGUCCGAGAGAGGUGAGUGGAACUGCGAGUGUAGAGGUGAAAUUCGUAGAUAUUCGCAAGAACACCAGUGGCGAAGGCGGCUCACUGGCUCGGUACUGACGCUGAGGUACGAAAGCCAGGGGAGCAAACGGG
RNAcentral lists this ribosomal RNA (253 nucleotides) under uncultured bacterium. RNAcentral describes it as "partial 16S ribosomal RNA". It matches the Rfam family "Bacterial small subunit ribosomal RNA", at positions 524 to 776 of the family's 1533-position model. The record is from RNAcentral.